Molecule: ribosomal RNA, 253 nt
Filed under: uncultured bacterium
Lineage: Bacteria
Description: partial 16S ribosomal RNA
Rfam family: Bacterial small subunit ribosomal RNA
Source: RNAcentral
UACAGAGGCCUCGAGCGUUAGGCGGAAUCACUGGGCUUAAAGCGUGUGUAGGCGGACUUCUAAGUACCUUGUGAAAUCCCACGGCUCAACCGUGGAACGGCUGGGUAUACUGCCUGUCUUGAGCCAACUAGGGGCGAGCGGAACAGACGGUGGAGCGGUGAAAUGCGUAGAUAUCGUCUGGAACGCCAAAGGUGAAAACAGCUCGCUGGGGUUGUGCUGACGCUGAGACACGAAAGCCAGGGGAGCGAACGGG